This 531-nucleotide ribosomal RNA is filed under the name uncultured bacterium. Its description in RNAcentral is "bacterial SSU rRNA". It matches the Rfam family "Bacterial small subunit ribosomal RNA", at positions 505 to 1035 of the family's 1533-position model. The record is from RNAcentral.
GUGCCAGCCGCCGCGGUAAUACGGAGGGUGCAAGCGUUAAUCGGAAUUACUGGGCGUAAAGCGCACGCAGGCGGUCUGUUAAGUCAGAUGUGAAAUCCCCGGGCUCAACCUGGGAACUGCAUCUGAUACUGGCAGGCUUGAGUCUCAUAGAGGGGGGUAGAAUUCCAGGUGUAGCGGUGAAAUGCGUAGAGAUCUGGAGAAAUACCGGUGGCGAAGGCGGCCCCCUGGACAAAGACUGACGCUCAGGUGCGAAAGCGUGGGGAGCAAACAGGAUUAGAUACCCUGGUAGUCCACGCUGUAAACGAUGUCGACUUGGAGGUUGUUCCCUUGAGGAGUGGCUUCCGGAGCUAACGCGUUAAGUCGACCGCCUGGGGAGUACGGCCGCAAGGUUAAAACUCAAAUGAAUUGACGGGGCCCGCACAAGCGGUGGAGCAUGUGGUUUAAUUCGAUGCAACGCGAAGAACCUUACCUGGUCUUGACAUCCACAGAACUUUCCAAGAGAUGGAUUGGUGCCUUCGGGAACUGUGAGAC